Molecule: long non-coding RNA, 416 nt
Organism: Magnolia sinica
Lineage: Eukaryota; Viridiplantae; Streptophyta; Magnoliopsida; Magnoliales; Magnoliaceae
Exons: 4
Source: RefSeq, a predicted model, not a curated record
UUUUAUUUGAGCAAAGUAUGUAUAUUUACCUUAUGUGGCAAUUAUUGGCUGGUAUGCAUUCACCAAACGCCGUCUUUCUCCUUGGAGAUACUGCUUUGAAUAGCUUAAGGUUCUCAUGGUUCUGGAUCUCCUAACUUUGUUUUGUGGACAUCUAUAUAUGUCAUUUUCAAAUGGGUCAUCCAUGCUUGUGUCUCACUUUGGUGGCCAUACCCAUUUCUUGACUUGUCAUCCCCUUAUGCUCCACUAUGGAAUUUUGAUUUUGCCAAAUAAUGCCUCCAUGAAUUGAAAUACUCGGAAGGUAUUUUUCCACAAGAAGAAAUACCAAAAUGCCUUUAUUUAUUUAUUUUUUCUCUAAAAAAACAAUGAAUAUGAGAAUUGUGGGGUCCAUGUGGUAUAUGUAGACAUCCAACCCCUCC